GCCGGGUGUGGUGGUGUGCACCUGUAGUCCCAGCUACCGGGAGACUGAGGCAGGAGAAUUGCUUGAACCCAGGAGGCAGAGGUUGCAGUGAGUCGAGAUUGUGCCACUGCACUCUAGCCUGGGUGACAGAGCGACACUCUGUCUCAA
Unclassified non-coding RNA from Macaca fascicularis (crab-eating macaque), 147 nucleotides. It matches the Rfam family "Metazoan signal recognition particle RNA". From Rfam's summary of the family: The signal recognition particle (SRP) is a universally conserved ribonucleoprotein. It is involved in the co-translational targeting of proteins to membranes. The eukaryotic SRP consists of a 300-nucleotide 7S RNA and six proteins: SRPs 72, 68, 54, 19, 14, and 9. The record is from Ensembl. Lineage: Eukaryota; Metazoa; Chordata; Mammalia; Primates; Cercopithecidae.